UGAGACAGGUGCUGCAUGGCUGUCGUCAGCUCGUGUUGUGAAAUGUUGGGUUAAGUCCCGCAACGAGCGCAACCCUUAUCCUUUGUUGCCAGCGGUUCGGCCGGGAACUCAAAGGAGACUGCCAGUGAUAAACUGGAGGAAGGUGGGGAUGACGUCAAGUCAUCAUGGCCCUUACGAGUAGGGCUACACACGUGCUACAAUGGCAUAUACAAAGAGAAGCGACCUCGCGAGAGCAAGCGGACCUCAUAAAGUAUGUCGUAGUCCGGAUUGGAGUCUGCAACUCGACUCCAUGAAGUCGGAAUCGCUAGUAAUCGUGGAUCAGAAUGCCACGGUGAAUACGUUCCCGGGCCUUGUACACACCGCCCGUCACACCAUGGGAGUGGGUUGCAAAAGAAGUAGGUAGCUUAACCUUCGGGAGGGCGCUUACCACUUUGUGAUUCAUGACUGGGGUGAAGUCGUAACAAGGUAACCGUAGGGGAACCUGCGGUUGGAUCACCUCCUUACCUUAAAGAA
This 513-nucleotide ribosomal RNA is filed under the name Citrobacter braakii. Its description in RNAcentral is "bacterial SSU rRNA". It matches the Rfam family "Bacterial small subunit ribosomal RNA", at positions 1030 to 1533 of the family's 1533-position model. The record is from RNAcentral. Lineage: Bacteria; Pseudomonadati; Pseudomonadota; Gammaproteobacteria; Enterobacterales; Enterobacteriaceae. RNAcentral also lists the same sequence under 1 other name.